RNAcentral lists this ribosomal RNA (355 nucleotides) under uncultured eukaryote. Its description in RNAcentral is "SSU rRNA". It matches the Rfam family "Eukaryotic small subunit ribosomal RNA", at positions 594 to 945 of the family's 1831-position model. The record is from RNAcentral.
AUAGCGUAUACUAAAGUUGUUGCGGUUAAAAAGCUCGUAGUUGGAUGUCAGUUGCGGGCGGGCGGUCCACCGUUUUGGUGGUUUACUGCUCGUCCCGUGACCUACCAACCGGCCUCCCCCGCUAUGCUCUUUACCGAGUGUGGCGGGUGGCCGGAACUUUUACUUUGAAAAAAUUAGAGUGCUCUAAGCAGGUGCAUGCCGCCUGAAUAACACAGCAUGGAAUAAUGGAAUAGGACCUCGGUUCUAUUUUGUUGGUUUUCGGAAUUCUGAGGUAAUGAUUAAUAGGGACGGACGGGGGCAUUCGUAUUGCGGCGCUAGAGGUGAAAUUCUUGGACCGUCGCAAGACGAACUAGUG